Molecule: ribosomal RNA, 254 nt
Filed under: uncultured bacterium
Lineage: Bacteria
Description: partial 16S ribosomal RNA
Rfam family: Bacterial small subunit ribosomal RNA
Source: RNAcentral
UACGUAGGGCGCGAGCGUUGUCCGGAAUUAUUGGGCGUAAAGAGCUCGUAGGCGGUGUGUCGCGUCGGCCGUGAAAACUUGGGGCUUAACCCUGAGCUUGCGGUCGAUACGGGCAUCACUGGAGUUCGGCAGGGGAGACUGGAAUUCCUGGUGUAGCGGUGAAAUGCGCAGAUAUCAGGAGGAACACCGGUGGCGAAGGCGGGUCUCUGGGCAGUGGCUGACGCUGAAGCGCGACAGCGUGGGGAGCAAACAGG